RNAcentral lists this ribosomal RNA (464 nucleotides) under Vreelandella stevensii. Its description in RNAcentral is "partial 16S ribosomal RNA". It matches the Rfam family "Bacterial small subunit ribosomal RNA", at positions 339 to 795 of the family's 1533-position model. Lineage: Bacteria; Pseudomonadati; Pseudomonadota; Gammaproteobacteria; Oceanospirillales; Halomonadaceae. The record is from RNAcentral.
CCACGGGUGGCUGCAGUGGGGAAUAUUGGACAAUGGGCGAAAGCCUGAUCCAGCCAUGCCGCGUGUGUGAAGAAGGCCUUCGGGUUGUAAAGCACUUUCAGUGGGGAAGAAAGCCUUGGGGCUAAUACCCUCGAGGAAGGACAUCACCCACAGAAGAAGCACCGGCUAACUCCGUGCCAGCAGCCGCGGCAAUACGGAGGGUGCGAGCGUUAAUCGGAAUUACUGGGCGUAAAGCGCGCGUAGGCGGUCUGAUAAGCCGGUUGUGAAAGCCCCGGGCUCAACCUGGGAACGGCAUCCGGAACUGUCAGGCUAGAGUGCAGGAGAGGAAGGUAGAAUUCCCGGUGUAGCGGUGAAAUGCGUAGAGAUCGGGAGGAAUACCAGUGGCGAAGGCGGCCUUCUGGACUGACACUGACGCUGAGGUGCGAAAGCGUGGGUAGCAAACAGGAUUAGAUACCCUUGUAGUC